This is a non-coding RNA of Epinephelus lanceolatus (giant grouper), 1205 nucleotides long. Lineage: Eukaryota; Metazoa; Chordata; Actinopteri; Perciformes; Serranidae. The record is from RefSeq and is a predicted model, not a curated record.
GUCUCGAUGGUAUGAAUCAGAAUUUCAGCAGGCAAGUAGAGUCAUUACUUCUCUGUCUCUCAGUUGAGACAGCGGACCAAAGCAGACCAACAUGAACGGAGGGAAUAUCUAAUUUACGUUCUGCACAACGAUCUCAAGACAAGAGAUUUCCAUCCAGUGCGUGGACAAUGCUGACGGGUUCUGUGGUGUGAUCGUCUAUGGCAAUCAAACAUUUCCAGUUCCGUCUCCACGAGGUGCUAUAGGCUGGACUCUUUUUGGUGAUGGACAAGGCCCUUACAGUAGCUCUGUGCGACCUUUCCAGCCUGUCUCCUCUAAUGAUGGAGACGUGGAGGACACGGAUUUGGAUCCUCCACAGACUUACAGUUAUUCACUAGCCAGUUCUGUGCCACCUUUCCAACCUGCUAACUCUGACGAUGGAGACGUAGAGGACACAGACUGGGAUCCUCUGCAUACUGCUAAUAAUUCACCAGCCAGGUAAAAAAAAAAACAGGAAAGAAAAGAAAGGAAAGAGAUCCAUCAAUCUACAGAUUAGCAAAUACAGACUCAAAGUACACAGUUAAGUAUUUGAAUUAUCAUAAUAUCAGUCAUUCUAAACUUCUCUGUUGUGUCUCCCACAGUCUAAAGGAGGGUGAAAGAGCUGACUGAAGAAGAAGAAAAGAAGAGGACCAAUGGCUUAGUACUGUACAUAGUAAUGUAGCGACAGCAUUGUCUGUAGAUCUAUUGGGUUGGGUGCAUAUUGCUGCUGAUCCAUCAUGUGACAGUGAAAAUGUUAUUCAGCACUUGAGUUUGUUGGUAAGCACAGUGUUUCAGCACCCUACCAUUUCAUUAGGACCUGUGGCUUUCCGUGCAUUUUUCCUGUUUUCAAAGCUUUAUGAUAAUUCAGUUAUGUAUGUAUUGUUAUUGUUUACAUUUUUUUUUCUCAGGACAUCAGUGGAAUGUUCUAAACUAAGCACAAAAAGUAAUGAAAUUUGUGUUUGGUAGAUUAUUUCUUUGUUGAAACAAUGCUUGUUGGAAAUAAAUCUUGGAAAGGUUGUUUAUAUCCCUUUUAAAUGGUGCCACAUUUGUAAGGAACAUGCAUUUGUCGGAUGAGCAGCAGAGCUGAGUAUGUGGCUUGCACCCAUGUAAAAUUUGCCAAAUCGGCUCUGCCAAUGCCAAACAGCUUUUUUGUUUUUGCUGUUGACUCUUGUUUGGUUUUGUUUGGUGGA